Hippopotamus amphibius kiboko is the source of this 534-nucleotide non-coding RNA. The record is from the annotation of a RefSeq genome assembly. Lineage: Eukaryota; Metazoa; Chordata; Mammalia; Artiodactyla; Hippopotamidae.
AUGCCGCUCUCCAGCCUGCUCUGGGUGUUCCUGGCCUUCACCUUCUCUGGAUCCUGUGUGGCCCAGAAAGUUACUCAAGUCCAGCCAGACAUAACCUAUCAGGUGGGCGAGGCAGCCAUCCUGAACUGUCGGUAUGACACAAGUUGGGCAACUUGGAACACAGACAUCUACUACAUUUACUGGUAUAAGCAGCUACCCAGGGGUGAGAUGACUUUCCUUAUUCGUCAAGAAUCUAAUAGCCCAAAUGCAAGGAAUGGCCGCUACUCUGUAAACUUUCAGAAAGCAGAUAAAUCCAUCAGCCUCACCAUUUCAGCCUUGCAGCUGGAAGAUUCUGCAAAGUACUUCUGUGCUCUCUGGGACCUCACAGUGCUUGAAGUAAUAGGAAAAGCUGAACAAAAACCCCAGAGCUCAAUAAGAGAGCCCUUCUACUGCUGGAGUCAAGCUGAUAGGCACACCUGCAGAUCCCAGACAAGAAAUGGUAGUCCUGUGGUUGCUUCAUCUGUGGUCUGGAUCAGAAGAUUUUAUUUUAAAUAA